GUCUGCGGCCAUACCACCCUGAACGCGCCCGAUCUAAUCUGAUCUCGGAAGCCUGGUUAGUACUUGGAUGGGAGAAAAGAAUAAAAUAGGCUCACAGCGCACACAGCUUGCGUCCCUCUGUAUCCAGGGUAGCUGCUU
This 138-nucleotide ribosomal RNA is filed under the name Microcebus murinus (gray mouse lemur). Lineage: Eukaryota; Metazoa; Chordata; Mammalia; Primates; Cheirogaleidae. The record is from RNAcentral.